AGACAUGAGCAAGAAAAGCCUCUGGGAGCAGAAGGGAGGCUCCAAGACCUCAUCAACAAUUAAGACUCUUUGGCAGUUGCACUGGGUACUGGCUGAGUUCUGGAAAACAGGAAUGUGAGCAGAGUGCUGCAGAUCUCCUUGUCAGGAGCACCUAAGAACUGGCAUGACUCUACACCCUCUCUCCUUCUGCAAUGACCUCGUGUCAAGAUGGCAGACCUGCAGAGAUGAAUGUGCCUGGAUACCUGAGUCACCAGGUGGAGGAAACUCCCAUUGACAUGCAUCACACUCCACAUAUGAAACCCUUCUUUUUCUGCACU
This 317-nucleotide long non-coding RNA is filed under the name Homo sapiens (human). RNAcentral describes it as "non-protein coding lnc-EIF2AK3-30:10". Lineage: Eukaryota; Metazoa; Chordata; Mammalia; Primates; Hominidae. The record is from RNAcentral.